RNAcentral lists this ribosomal RNA (253 nucleotides) under uncultured bacterium. Its description in RNAcentral is "partial 16S ribosomal RNA". It matches the Rfam family "Bacterial small subunit ribosomal RNA", at positions 524 to 776 of the family's 1533-position model. The record is from RNAcentral.
UACGGAGGGUGCAAGCGUUAUCCGGAUUUACUGGGUUUAAAGGGAGCGUAGGUGGGCUGUUAAGUCAGUGGUGAAAUCCCGGGGCUCAACCUCGGAACUGCCGUUGAUACUAUCAGUCUUGAAUAUUGUGGAGGCUAGCGGAAUAUGUCAUGUAGCGGUGAAAUGCUUAGAUAUGACAUAGAACACCGAUUGCGAAGGCAGCUGGCUACGCAUAUAUUGACACUGAGGCUCGAAAGCGUGGGUAGCAAACAGG